UUUGUGACUUUACCACGCUUUUUAUUAAUUAAAGUACCAAUUUUGAACCUCCAGAGACUCCAUUUAGUCUCCUUUUUUAGCUUCUCUUUCCUGGACGCUGAGAAUAAGAACACAGUUAACAAUUGGUGCUCCUGAAGACGUGAUUCUCGUUGCACUGGGAGAGACUAUACACGCGGCUGUUGUCCGGAGCCGCUGGCAAACCCGUUCGACACACAGAGAGCUCAAACUACGGUAAAGAAGAAGCCUGUUACGUCAAAAUUCUUCAAUAGUUUAUGCAGAACAAUCUUAGGACUGUGUGUUGGACGGCUGCUUCCGGUUCCUGAAAAUAGCUGGGAAAUUAAUGUUAAAACAACCAAAUUUAUAACAAUAACAAUCAUAACACGUGGCGUUGCAUUUUCACAAGCAGGGUGAGUUCACAUUUCUUCUUUUUCUUAUAUUUAACCCUGCAUGCUAUUCGUUUGUCUGUUAUUACAUGUCGGCAAAAGGCUAAUCAUUUCAAUUGUUUCUUGUUACGUCUUAAUUUAAACGUGAAUGGUUUUAGGCCAUUAAUCAGUGGGGACUGGUUGAGACAAGAACAAAGUGGAGUGAGUGUUUGUGUUAAGGACAGUGUGAGGCUGUUUUUCUUUUUAAAAGUUCUUUGUGUGAUGAUGGCAAUCAUUUAAAGUGUUUCUUGUUACGUCUUAAUUUAAACGUGAAUGGUUUUAGGCCAUUAAACAGUGGGGACUGUUUGAGACAAGAACACAGUUGAGUGAGUAUUUUAAUUACAGCAAGGGGCUUUCUUAUUAAAAAAGUCCUAUUUGAGGAAAAGGCCUGAAAAGUUUGAAGCUUUCAGUGUUUGUUUUUUCUGUUUUCAAACAGACAUUGCGCGUGGAUUACGACGAGAAAUGCGACAUUCGUGCGUUAGAUAGACGAUAUUCUUCUGAUAGUGUUUGAUUAGCUUCUUACUUUGUCCCAUGAUAGCGUGUUUAAACAGAGGAGAUAACCAUACUGGCUCUUAAAGUCAAAACAUUACGUACACAGGUUGAAGGCUGUGACGUAAGGGUAUGAGGCCCAUCUUUGGUAACACAAAUCAGUAUUGUUACCGAGCCUGAUAAUCUAUUGACCUAUCUAAGCUUAACGUUAUUACAACAGUAGAGUAGGCCUGGUUGCAAACGGGACUAUAGGCCAACGUGUUUAUAGCAUCAUGCUAAGUUAGCGUUUAAUACCACAAACAUUUUUACCACAUACAACUAUUAUUUACUUUAUUAACGCUUAACGAGGUUGGACAGUCGAUGUUGUACUUUGAUAACGAGACAAUUGUGUGUUAAGAAAAAUGACAUUACAAUAAAUAUAAACAUGCAUCUCUGGAAAAUACUAUUACUGCUGUUUCAACUUUUUGUUCGGCCAUCGUGAAAGAACGAAUGACUUCUUCUGCGAGGAUUUAUAAAAGCAGCUGGAAUCCCUUAAGUUGCAUUACUGCCACCUACAGUAUGUAUUUCUGCUGAGUGUCAUUAUUCUAUUGGAUACAAAAAGUUAGGAAACGCCCCUAUACGAUCCGCCCCUAUAUGAUACGCCCCUAUACGAUACGCCUCCUUGCUGUGGUCUGCAGACAGACUCUAUUGGUCUGCAGCCAGACCCAUCUCAUUCUAUUGGAUAAAAAAAGUUAGGAAACGCCCCUAUACGAUCCGCCCCUAUACGAUCCGCCUCCUUGCUGCGGUCUGCAGACAGACCCAUCUCCAACAACUAGCUGGCGUUAAACCAGACCAAGGGCUAUAAAGUAACGGCUGAAACCGAAUAAUACUGGACCUGCAUCACGUGAUGCAGGUCACUCACGACGCCCAAUCACAAUGUAGCAGUUUGCGCGCCAACUGUGGUGGAGCCAAGUGCAUCGGUGGACGGACGGUUAUUGUUUGAAAUUGAGCAGCCAGACUACAACAAUUCAACAUGUCUCUGCUGGACCUACCAACAUUUGGACUGUUCUAUUUCCCAGACGGGUCGGUUAGAGUAGAACAUACAUCUAUCAUAAAGGAUGUAAACAGGGCUGCAAAAGUUACAGUCACCUGCAGGGAAGACCUCGAUUUGGAGCAAGGCUGGAUAGAGGUGAUUUGGCCUGCCAAACGUCGACCGCAAAAGGGGUCGAAGCCAGUUGCUGCCAAAUUGCUGUUCGUAGGAGAAGUCUACCAAGAAGUGGUUCAAAAGCGGGAUGCUUUCAUCCGAGGGGAGGACAUAUUUUCGGUAGCCGAGUCCCAGAAAAGAGGCAGCAGAAGAAAGACAUGUACAGUCAAAAAUGUGAAGGAGGCUGUACAAAAAACAAACCAAGGAAAGGCAUCUGGUUCACAGAUGGUAACUGCCAUGGGCGAACAGCUCAAGAGAUCCCUACAGGCUGAGAGAACCUCCAAGCCCUCAGAAGAGGUGACAUCUGAAUCACCUCAACACUCUUCAGAUUCUGAUGUCACCUCGAUUGACCUGUUUGAGCCGAUCAAAAAGCAACCAUUUAGAUGCCAAGAUUGGUGGCUACCAUGAAGACAGCACUGGACAACAUUUCAGGGUCGUCCUCAUCAGGAUCUUGUUCCAGUAGUGGCCACGGUGACUCCCAGCAAACUGGCCGCAAUACUGGCAGUAAUGACUUGAUGUUCCUAGGCAACUCCUCCGUCCAGGUCUCCACACGCCUCUUCCACAGAUUAGGCAACAGAAGGAUGUCUCUCUUUGCCCAGGAACUAGCAACGCUAAUCUUUGGGAAAGAGACCCUGGCGAAGUCUACCCUUACUGGGAAGGGGAAAACCCAGAGACCCUUGACCCGGAGAAAGUCAAUGCCAUUAUAGACACCGUGAGAGAAAAAUGUCCAGGCACCGAGGUGAGUGCGAUCCGGGCCCUGCUGCGGAGGAAAUGCAACAACGAGAGAUAUACAAGCAACGUUACUCCUCACUGAUGGUCACCAUUUAGUUUAUAUAGACUUUGCAAGUUAGUUAGUCAGUUUAGCCAUCAUGUUUUGUUAAUUGUUAAAUUUAGUAUAAACACGUUUUUUGGUUUGUUGUUGUUUUUAUGUCAUUAAAAUUAUGUUUUUCUCAUAAUUGAAGUGCAAUUUGUCAUGAAACAGAAUAGCAUACUUGGUGUGUACUUAAGUAGUAUCCGGAAGUAGCUUAAAGUGUAUGAAGUAUAAUAGUGAUGUAUUGUAAGUAUGUUUCUGUAACACAUAACCCAGUACUUGCAGUGGUAACAUUAUUGUAAAAUACACUUCUAUUCUGUAGUAUAAGCAGUGAUACCAUACACUUCUACUCUACAUUAUAGUAUAAUAACAUUAUACUUAAAAUACAUGGAUUUAUGGUGCUUAAAUUGUGAUAGAACCUUACUAUAAAUACAUUUUUAUUAACAUGAUAGCACAAUUUAAAAGUAUUAAAUACAGUCAGAAAAUGCAUUUGAAGUUAAUUGGAAAUACAACAGGUGUGCUUGAAUAAGUAUGAUAAUAGUAUGUUGAAAACACUUAUGAAUUGAGCUGAAUUCCCUUUUAAGUAUAUUUCCAACACACUGGUGAUACAAUACAAUUAUACUUAAAGCAUGUUUAGAAUGCACACGAAUGCCCUUUUAAGUAUAUUUCCAACACACUGGUGAUAUAAUACAAUUGUGCUUAAAGUGUGUUUCGAAUGCACAUAAAUCAUGAUUUUAACUGGUGUACUUUAGUACACUUAAAGUUUACAAAAAGAUGUGCCAAUUUAGCACACUAUUUACACUUCAAGUAUACUCAGCUAAUGAUUAAGUAGUACUCCAGUACUACUUGAGUACACUUUAGUAUACUUGAAUGUGACCAAAAUAGCACAUUUAUCUAAAAGUGUACUUAGUACAUUCUUCUAAAAGUAUAAUUUAAGCAUACUAUUUUUUUACCUGGGGCUCCCAGCCACUUAAUUCAGGAGUUUACUUGAUUGACAG
Gymnodraco acuticeps is the source of this 3903-nucleotide long non-coding RNA. RefSeq lists it as uncharacterized. The record is from RefSeq and is a predicted model, not a curated record. NCBI's taxonomy places the organism in Eukaryota, Metazoa, Chordata, Actinopteri, Perciformes, Bathydraconidae. The transcript is spliced from 6 exons.